CCUACGGGAGGCAGCAGUGGGGAAUAUUGCACAAUGGGGGGAACCCUGAUGCAGCAACGCCGCGUGGGUGAAGAAGUACUUCGGUAUGUAAAGCCCUGUCAGCAGGGAAGAAAAUGACGGUACCUGACCAAGAAGCCCCGGCUAACUACGUGCAAGCAGCCGCGGAAAUACGUAGGGGGCAAGCGUUAUCCGGAUUUACUGGGUGUAAGGGGAGGGUAGGCGGCAAGGCAAGUCUGGAGUGAAAGCCCGUGGAUCAACCAAGGGACUGCUUUGGAAACUGUGUUGCUGGAGUGCAGGAGGGGUAAGCGGAAUUCCUAGUGUAGCGGUGAAAUGCGUAGAUAUUAGGAGGAACACCGGUGGCGAAGGCGGCUUACUGGACUGUAACUGACGUUGAGGCUCGAAGGCGUGGGGAGCAAACAGGAUUAGAUACCCCUGUAGUC
This 440-nucleotide ribosomal RNA is filed under the name uncultured bacterium. RNAcentral's name for it is "partial 16S ribosomal RNA". It matches the Rfam family "Bacterial small subunit ribosomal RNA", at positions 338 to 795 of the family's 1533-position model. The record is from RNAcentral.